CUAUAGCCCUGAUUGUAGUGUAAAUCCCGCAGCUGCCUGGCAUAGCCGGCGUGAGGAAUUGAAAUGAAAAGCAGGUAAAUAC
Molecule: small RNA, 82 nt
Filed under: Dokdonia sp. Hel_I_53
Lineage: Bacteria; Pseudomonadati; Bacteroidota; Flavobacteriia; Flavobacteriales; Flavobacteriaceae
Description: Dokdonia sp. Hel1_53 Flavo-1 RNA
Rfam family: Flavo-1 RNA
Source: RNAcentral